This 3578-nucleotide long non-coding RNA is filed under the name Mytilus galloprovincialis (Mediterranean mussel). Lineage: Eukaryota; Metazoa; Mollusca; Bivalvia; Mytilida; Mytilidae. The record is from RNAcentral.
GUACUAUCAUUUUUUUAGAGAAGUAUUUGAGCUCUGAACAUGUGAAAUAAAAAAAAUAUAUAGUUGUGAAAUAUACUUAACAGAAGAAAAAUAAGACACACACUCACAGAUGCAAAUUAAGUGAUAAAAAAUUAAAUAUUUGAGAUAAACUUUUGUUUAUUCUAACUUUAAGUACAAAAAGAUUAAAACAUAUUUUUCAUGUAAAAGGACACAUUUUACCUAAGUAUUAUAAUGUGAACAGAUAUAAAGCUAUUCAAGAUCUAGUUCUGUGUGGAAACAACUGGUAUGAUGAUAAGGUCUAUAAUGAGAGAGAUCCCCAUAUUUAGCAUAGCUUGAUCAAUUUUAAACAUAUAAGAUUGAGAUGCAAUAUAUAAAUGUACCCAUGUUAGGUGUAUUAUAUUAUACAUUUUACAUAUAUGAGAUGUAAAAUUUUGUUGCAUUUUUUGAUACAUGAUCUUGUUAACAUUGUAUAAAUAUCAUUGGAUGAACCUAUACAUUGUAAAUAUUUGUCCUCGUGUCAUCCUUAAACAAAUUAAUUUAUCUAUUUUUUACUUAAUGCACCCAUUAUAUGUUAAAUUUUUAAAUGAUGUGCCACAUAGGAAUAAUAAUGAUUAUAUUCAGAUGAUAAUUAAUUAUAAAUGUCAACUAAAGUUUUACAACAUUUAGAUUUUAGGGGUCAAGCAGAUUUGUUGCAUGUGUUCAUGGUUCAAUUGACUCUUAAAAUUGAAACAUUGUUUUAUUUAAAUUGACAUUUUUGAAGCAGUCUUGAUAUUUGACUUGCUUGCAUUUACCUGUUUAAGUGUUGUCGGCUCAAAACUUAAACUUUUGAUAAUGAAAUUUCUGGAACACACUUUCUCAGUAGGAAAUAUGUACUUGUCUCCAAGUUUUAUGAAUCUUUAUUUGAACAGGAGUUAUACCUUUAUUUCUACUCACUUGAUUUUAGCAAUGGCUACCUGAAUACCUGAUUUAAAAGCUCCUAAUGCAAUCUCAAACAAUCAUAAUGUCAAAACUUUCACCCGAGUAAAAACCAUGAUGGAAACUUAAAAAUCUGAUAAUAUGGUGUAAGAAUAGAAUCUACCAUGAGUCAAUUCCAACAAGAUAUAUAAGUGAAAUUGUUAUAUUGACCUCUUCUGUGAGUUUGGCUUAGGAAAUGAAUUGAAUUUAAAUAUUAAGUAACAUUUCUUGUGUGGCAUAAUUUUUUCCUUGACUGCAUGCUGUUUAAAUGCUUGUUACUAAAGUGAAAACAUGAUAGUUAUGGCUUUAUAUUAAUGAUCUUAUCAAGCUUUAUAAAAAUAAAUAGACAAACUUAAGACAACUACACUCAUGUUUAUCACUGAGUUCUGCGUUUAUACAAGACAAUUGUUUGACCACACUCGAAGUAGUACACAUGGGUGUUGUUUUCCUUAUUUUCUUUAUCUAAUAUCAGGCAAUACACACCUUUUGAAAUACAUGUAUUGACACAGUUAUAUACCUUGCCAACAAAUAAAAAAACAUUUAAGGAAAUGAUUUAAUUACAACUGUAAACACUCAAUCAGACCUCUUGCAAUGAAUCUGUCUGGAUAUAAACUAGUGCAAAUAAACUUUCUGCUUGCCCACACGGUACACAUAAUAUGUUUUGUGUUUAAUUUAAAAUUUGCCUUAUAUAUAUACACAAGAAAAGGUUAUAGUUUAGUGAAAUUUGAUUUAGUUUAGUUUGUAAAAAUGUCCUCUUCAUUGUUCAUGGUUUACCAGUAAUUGGUCACCAUACUCUUUAACAUAAAUGUAUGGUACCAGAGUUUAUAUUUAUAUGUAAUACAGCUGAACAUUAUUUGCACACUUCUAUAUUAUGUGUAAAAGAUAAUUGUAAAAUAUUAAAAUGCAGUAUCCAUGGUCAUUGCUUAAAAAGUUAUCUUGAAAAAUACUAAAUAAUAGGAUCUUGUGAUUGCCAGUAUCAUGAAUCAACUGGGUAGCCAUAACCUAAUUUCAAGUAAAAACAUAAGUAUUACUGACAACUUGAAAUCAAAUCUACAAAUCUUUCACACUUAAAUAUGGAUUCAUUUAUUUUUGUGGAUAUUUUUCCGAAGCCUGCAUACAAUUUUAAAGAAACUAUUUUAAUCUUUGAAUAAAUUCAUUCUUUACAGAAAAUAAUGAACACACUGUAGUUCAACAGUACUAAUUGAACUGCUCAUGUAUAUCUUAUAAAUUAUUAAAGCUAGAUACAAUCUUAAUAUAUGUAUGAAAUACAAAAAAAAAUAGCUAUAUAUUGUUCCAAUUUCUUCCAACUGACUAUGAAAGAGUGUUUUGACACAUCAACAUCAUCAAAAUCAUUUUACUGAUAUUUUGCUUUAAAAGAUGAGAUAUUAUAGGAACCAUAACUUGAAUUAUUUUUUUUUUAUUCCAAAUGAAUUUUUUGAUCAUUAUAAUUCAUUUGCAAUUUAAGUGACAUCAUAAAAAUCUCAGUUAUAUUAUUUUUCUCAAAUCAGUUUAUUUAUUCUUCAUAAAUUUCAGAACCAAGGAGUCUUUAUGACACCUUUUCCCUUUACUUUAGUGCUCAAUGAUAAGUCAUAAUUCUAUAUAAAAAGUCAUGUUUGUGUCUACUGUUCAAAAUAUUUUCUUUCGAUUGUUAUUUUUUAUAGAAAAAAUAGUUUUCAUUUUCAUACAAACAGAAGAGUAGAAAAUAAAAUCACCAAAUUUUUGCAGUAGUUCAUUAGAUAAUACAGUUUUACACAGUACUUAAUAAGAAAGUACACCUGAUGUAAGUCACAUUAUGCACAUGUGACUUCAAAGUGAAAUGUGAUUUAUCUGUAGUAGUUUGCAGUAUUGAUUAUUUUCGCUGUGUACAAUUUAAUAAAUGUUUGUAUUAAUUUUGUGCAAUUUUGUCAUAAAAUGAUGCUUUUAUGUAAACUUAAUAAUAGUUGCUGCAUUUUAAUAUGAAAAGAAAUACAAAAGGCUAGACAACUCGAACAUUAGUUAUUAAUAAAUGUUAGAAAAAAAUUACAGAAAAUUUCCCUUUUAAGAAAAUAUAACAUUACAUCUAACAAAAUUUCACCAUUCAUGCAAAUGCAAUGCCAAGUAUGCCAAAAAAAUUUAAAUGUGCCAGAUAAUUAGUUUCAUGGGGCCAGUCUCAUCUAGUGUCUGGUUACUAAUCAUCCAUGCAUGAACAUAAUAAUGGAAGAACCGAAACAGGAUAUAACUUUAUUUGUACACAUGAUAAUAGCUUAAAAUCAAGUUUGUAAGAUACAUUUUGAUUUAAGUCCAAAUUGAAGAUUAUAAUUUUUUCAUUAGUGACAGAAUUUUUAUCUUUUGUUAAGCAAAACAUAAGCAGAAUGGUGACUGGAGGAAAAUUUCUUUCACAAGUCGGGGUUUAACUUUAUAUUUAAGAUGAAGAAAAAUCAGUAGAAGGUUUAUCCUACAGAACUACAGCAACAAAAUCACUGGAAAUUAACAUUUCAUUUCUAACUUAAGGGAUUUUAUUUUACCUUAUUGCUACCUAUUAUUCAGAAAAUUUUCUUGAUCAUUUUCAUAUAAACAUGACAAUUGUUAUUUCCAGGGGUAAUUAAUUAAAAGUGUUUCAUAUUUCAUCUUAGAAUGCAGUAAUA